RNAcentral lists this ribosomal RNA (423 nucleotides) under uncultured Bacteroides sp. RNAcentral's name for it is "partial 16S ribosomal RNA". It matches the Rfam family "Bacterial small subunit ribosomal RNA", at positions 355 to 774 of the family's 1533-position model. Lineage: Bacteria; Pseudomonadati; Bacteroidota; Bacteroidia; Bacteroidales; Bacteroidaceae. The record is from RNAcentral.
UGAGGAAUAUUGGUCAAUGGGCGCGAGCCUGAACCAGCCAAGUAGCGUGAAGGAUGAAGGCUCUAUGGGUCGUAAACUUCUUUUAUAAGGGAAUAAAGUGGAGAACGUGUUCUCCUUUGUAUGUACCUUACGAAUAAGGAUCGGCUAACUCCGUGCCAGCAGCCGCGGUAAUACGGAGGAUCCGAGCGUUAUCCGGAUUUAUUGGGUUUAAAGGGAGCGUAGGUGGAUAGUUAAGUCAGUUGUGAAAGUUUGCGGCUCAACCGUAAAAUUGCAGUUGAUACUGGCUAUCUUGAGUACAGUAGAGGUGGGCGGAAUUCGUGGUGUAGCGGUGAAAUGCUUAGAUAUCACGAAGAACUCCAAUUGCGAAGGCAGCUCACUAGACUGGUCACUGACACUGAGGCUCGAAAGUGUGGGUAUCAAACA